AUUGAACGCUGGCGGCAGGCCUAACACAUGCAAGUCGAACGAGUGGCGGACGGGUGAGUAAUGUCUGGGAAACUGCCCGAUGGAGGGGGAUAACUACUGGAAACAGUAGCUAAUACCGCAUACCAUCGGAUGUGCCCAUAUGGGAUUAGCUAGUAGGUGGGGUAACGGCUCACCUAGGCGACGAUCCCUAGCUGGUCUGAGAGGAUGACCAGCCACACUGGAACUGAGACACGGUCCAGACUCCUACGGGAGGCAGCAGUGGGGAAUAUUGCACAAUGGGCGCAAGCCUGAUACAGCCAUGCCGCGUGUAUGAAGAAGGCCUUAGGGUUGUAAAGUACUUUCAGCCAGGAGGCGUUACUCACAGAAGAAGCACCGGCUAACUCCGUGCCAGCAGCCGCGGUAAUUC
RNAcentral lists this ribosomal RNA (406 nucleotides) under uncultured bacterium. RNAcentral's name for it is "partial 16S ribosomal RNA". It matches the Rfam family "Bacterial small subunit ribosomal RNA", at positions 30 to 526 of the family's 1533-position model. The record is from RNAcentral.